GGGUAACCUGCCCAAAAUGGGGGGAUAACAUUUGGAAACAAAUGCUAAUACCGCAUAAUAGUUAGAACCGCAUGGUUCUAAUUUGAAAGAUGGUUUCGGCUAUCACUUUUGGAUGGACCCGCGGCGUAUUAGUUAGUUGGUGAGGUAAAGGCUCACCAAGACAAUGAUACGUAGCCGAACUGAGAGGUUGAUCGGCCACAAUGGGACUGAGACACGGCCCAUACUCCUACGGGAGGCAGCAGUAGGGAAUCUUCCACAAUGGGCGAAAGCCUGAUGGAGCAACACCGCGUGAGUGAAGAAGGGUUUCGGCUCGUAAAACUCUGUUGUUGGAGAAGAACGUAUGUAAUAGUAACUGAUUAUAUAGUGACGGUAUCCAACCAGAAAGCCACGGCUAACUACGUGC
Molecule: ribosomal RNA, 403 nt
Filed under: uncultured Lactobacillus sp.
Lineage: Bacteria; Bacillati; Bacillota; Bacilli; Lactobacillales; Lactobacillaceae
Description: bacterial SSU rRNA
Rfam family: Bacterial small subunit ribosomal RNA
Source: RNAcentral